This 253-nucleotide ribosomal RNA is filed under the name uncultured bacterium. Its description in RNAcentral is "partial 16S ribosomal RNA". It matches the Rfam family "Bacterial small subunit ribosomal RNA", at positions 524 to 776 of the family's 1533-position model. The record is from RNAcentral.
UACGUAGGGUGCAAGCGUUGCCCGGAUUUAUUGGGCGUAAAGGGCGCGUAGGCGGUGUGGUAAGUCUGAUGUGAAAACUCUAGGCUCAACUUGGAGAUUGCAUCAGAAACUGCCGUGCUAGAGUGCGGGAGAGGAGAGUGGAAUUCCUGGUGUAGCGGUGAAAUGCGUAGAUAUCAGGAGGAACACCGGUGGCGAAGGCGGCUCUCUGGACCGCAACUGACGCUGAGGCGCGAAAGCCAGGGGAGCGAACGGG